Lycium barbarum (goji berry) is the source of this 336-nucleotide long non-coding RNA. RefSeq lists it as uncharacterized. The transcript is spliced from 3 exons. The record is from RefSeq and is a predicted model, not a curated record. NCBI's taxonomy places the organism in Eukaryota, Viridiplantae, Streptophyta, Magnoliopsida, Solanales, Solanaceae.
CUGCUCCUCAAUUUCAUGCCCUGCUCUCUCCAGUUCUGGUCCGUGCUUAUAGAGUGCAUAACAGUAUGAUUAAUGAACUUUGGAGGAAUUUAAUGAUAGGGAGAUUAUGGAUGUCACAUGUUUCUUUCCCGAGAUGGUAUCAAAAUAUCAUGAAACAGCGAAGCAAGAUCAACCACUUUUUCUGAUAUGGAAAAAGAUCAAAUUUCAAAUUCAUUUUGCCAGCACGAUCAGAGUUAGUGGAAGGACUUGCAUGUCAAUCUCUUCAAAAGCAAUGUCGAUGACUGGUAGUGAAGACUGGAGACACAGUGAAAAUGGUUUACAACGGAUGAAUCAAGG